This 492-nucleotide ribosomal RNA is filed under the name Sphingomonas sp. AB23T3. Its description in RNAcentral is "bacterial SSU rRNA". It matches the Rfam family "Bacterial small subunit ribosomal RNA", at positions 56 to 594 of the family's 1533-position model. The record is from RNAcentral. Lineage: Bacteria; Pseudomonadati; Pseudomonadota; Alphaproteobacteria; Sphingomonadales; Sphingomonadaceae.
UGCAGUCGACGAGAUCCUUCGGGGUCUAGUGGCGCACGGGUGCGUAACGCGUGGGAAUCUGCCCUUGGGUUUGGAAUAACAGUUAGAAAUGACUGCUAAUACCAAAUGAUGUCUUCGGACCAAAGAUUUAUCGCCCAGGGAUGAGCCCGCGUAGGAUUAGCUAGUUGGUGGGGUAAAGGCCUACCAAGGCGACGAUCCUUAGCUGGUCUGAGAGGAUGAUCAGCCACACUGGGACUGAGACACGGCCCAGACUCCUACGGGAGGCAGCAGUGGGGAAUAUUGGACAAUGGGCGAAAGCCUGAUCCAGCAAUGCCGCGUGAGUGAUGAAGGCCUUAGGGUUGUAAAGCUCUUUUACCCGGGAAGAUAAUGACUGUACCGGGAGAAUAAGCCCCGGCUAACUCCGUGCCAGCAGCCGCGGUAAUACGGAGGGGGCUAGCGUUGUUCGGAAUUACUGGGCGUAAAGCGCACGUAGGCGGCUUGGUAAGUUAGAGG